GAGCUAGAUGGAGAGUUAGCGGUGCUCUGUAACCCACAAUCCGCUACAGUGGGGUUGAAUGCUUGUGAGCGGUUUAAAUUUUGUAAAUAUGUGCAUGCGCUUUUGGCGUUGAAAUCAAGGUCUUAUGCAAUUGAAAUCCUUGAACCAUGUCAGAGCUUGACGGCAGCAUCAUUAAGAGGACACUUUGAUGUGCCAUGAGGAAACUUUGGUGGAGCUAAAAACGUG
This 225-nucleotide signal recognition particle RNA is filed under the name bovine gut metagenome. RNAcentral's name for it is "Bacterial large signal recognition particle RNA". It matches the Rfam family "Bacterial large signal recognition particle RNA", at positions 3 to 222 of the family's 256-position model. Rfam says of the family: The signal recognition particle (SRP) is a universally conserved ribonucleoprotein involved in the co-translational targeting of proteins to membranes. Archaeal SRP consists of a 7S RNA and homologues of the eukaryotic SRP19 and SRP54 proteins. The record is from RNAcentral.